This 468-nucleotide ribosomal RNA is filed under the name uncultured bacterium. RNAcentral describes it as "partial 16S ribosomal RNA". It matches the Rfam family "Bacterial small subunit ribosomal RNA", at positions 28 to 507 of the family's 1533-position model. The record is from RNAcentral.
GACGAACGCUGGCGGCGUGCUUAACACAUGCAAGUCGAACGGAAAGGCCCUGCUUUUGUGGGGUGCUCGAGUGGCGAACGGGUGAGUAACACGUGAGUAACCUGCCCUUGACUUUGGGAUAACUUCAGGAAACUGGGGCUAAUACCGGAUAGGAGCUCCUGCUGCAUGGUGGGGGUUGGAAAGUUUCGGCGGUUGGGGAUGGACUCGCGGCUUAUCAGCUUGUUGGUGGGGUAGUGGCUUACCAAGGCUUUGACGGGUAGCCGGCCUGAGAGGGUGACCGGCCACAGUGGGACUGAGAUAAGCCCCAGACUCCUACGGGAGGCAGCAGUGGGGAAUAUUGCACCAUGGGCGGAAGCCUGAUGCAGCAACGCCGCGUGCGGGAUGACGGCCUUCGGGUUGUAAACCGCUUUCGCCUGUGACGAAGCGUGAGUGACGGUAAUGGGUAAAGAAGCACCGGCUAACUACGUG